AACGAACGCUGGCGGCAGGCCUAAUACAUGCAAGUCGAACGGAUGUAGCAAUACAUUAGUGGCGCACGGGUGCCUAACGCGUGGGAACAUACCCUUGAGUAAGGAAUAAUGUCUGGAAACGGACACUAAUACCUUAUAAUGACUUCGGUCCAAAGAUUCAUCGCUCAAGGAUUGGCCCGCGUCUGAUUAGCUAGUUGGUGAGGUAACGGCUCACCAAGGCGACGAUCAGUAGCUGGUCUGAGAGGAUGAUCAGCCACACUGGGACUGAGACACGGCCCAGACUCCUACGGGAGGCAGCAGUAAGGAAUAUUGGAAAAUGGGGAAACCCUGAUCCAGCCAUGCCGCGUGAGUGAAGAAGGCCUUAGGGUUGUAAAGCUCUUUCAAUAGUGAAGAUAAUGACGGUAGCUAUAGAAGAAGCCCCGGCUAAAUUCGUGCCAGCCGCCGCCGUAA
Molecule: ribosomal RNA, 450 nt
Filed under: uncultured bacterium
Lineage: Bacteria
Description: partial 16S ribosomal RNA
Rfam family: Bacterial small subunit ribosomal RNA
Source: RNAcentral